This 452-nucleotide ribosomal RNA is filed under the name uncultured bacterium. Its description in RNAcentral is "partial 16S ribosomal RNA". It matches the Rfam family "Bacterial small subunit ribosomal RNA", at positions 28 to 507 of the family's 1533-position model. The record is from RNAcentral.
GAUGAACGCUGGUGGCGUGCCUAACACAUGCAAGUCGAGCGAUUCUCUUCGGAGAAGAGCGGCGGACGGGUGAGUAACGCGUGGGUAACCUGCCCUGUACACACGGAUAACAUACCGAAAGGUAUGCUAAUAUGAGAUAACAUGCUUUUAUCGCAUGGUAGAAGUAUCAAAGCUUUUGCGGUACAGGAUGGACCCGCGUCUGAUUAGCUAGUUGGUGAGGUAACGGCUCACCAAGGCGACGAUCAGUAGCCGACCUGAGAGGGUGAUCGGCUACAUUGGAACUGAGACACGGUCCAAACUCCUACGGGAGGCAGCAGUGGGGAAUAUUGCACAAUGGGCGAAAGCCUGAUGCAGCAACGCCGCGUGAGCGAUGAAGGCCUUCGGGUCGUAAAGCUCUGUCCUCAAGGAAGAUAAUGACGGUACUUGAGGAGGAAGCCCCGGCUAACUACGUG